This 1435-nucleotide ribosomal RNA is filed under the name uncultured organism. RNAcentral describes it as "SSU rRNA". It matches the Rfam family "Bacterial small subunit ribosomal RNA". The record is from RNAcentral.
ACGCUAGCGACAGGCUUAACACAUGCAAGUCGAGGGUCAGCACAGGUAGCAAUACCGGGUGGCGACCGGCGCACGGGUGAGUAACGCGUAUGCAACUUACCUAUCAGAGGGGGAUAACCCGGCGAAAGUCGGACUAAUACCGCAUGAAGCAGGGGUCCCGCAUGGGGAUAUUUGCUAAAGAUUCAUCGCUGAUAGAUAGGCAUGCGUUCCAUUAGGCAGUUGGCGGGGUAACGGCCCACCAAACCGACGAUGGAUAGGGGUUCUGAGAGGAAGGUCCCCCACAUUGGUACUGAGACACGGACCAAACUCCUACGGGAGGCAGCAGUGAGGAAUAUUGGUCAAUGGCCGAGAGGCUGAACCAGCCAAGUCGCGUGAGGGAUGAAGGUUCUAUGGAUCGUAAACCUCUUUUAUAAGGGAAUAAAGUGCGGGACGUGUCCCGUUUUGUAUGUACCUUAUGAAUAAGGAUCGGCUAACUCCGUGCCAGCAGCCGCGGUAAUACGGAGGAUCCGAGCGUUAUCCGGAUUUAUUGGGUUUAAAGGGUGCGUAGGCGGCCUUUUAAGUCAGCGGUGAAAGUCUGUGGCUCAACCAUAGAAUUGCCGUUGAAACUGGGGGGCUUGAGUAUGUUUGAGGCAGGCGGAAUGCGUGGUGUAGCGGUGAAAUGCAUAGAUAUCACGCAGAACCCCGAUUGCGAAGGCAGCCUGCCAAGCCAUUACUGACGCUGAUGCACGAAAGCGUGGGGAUCAAACAGGAUUAGAUACCCUGGUAGUCCACGCAGUAAACGAUGAUCACUAGCUGUUUGCGAUACACUGUAAGCGGCACAGCGAAAGCGUUAAGUGAUCCACCUGGGGAGUACGCCGGCAACGGUGAAACUCAAAGGAAUUGACGGGGGCCCGCACAAGCGGAGGAACAUGUGGUUUAAUUCGAUGAUACGCGAGGAACCUUACCCGGGUUUGAACGCAUUCGGACCGAGGUGGAAACACCUUUUCUAGCAAUAGCCGUUUGCGAGGUGCUGCAUGGUUGUCGUCAGCUCGUGCCGUGAGGCGUCGGCUUAAGUGCCAUAACGAGCGCAACCCUUGCCACUAGUUACUAACAGGUAAAGCUGAGGACUCUGGUGGGACUGCCAGCGUAAGCUGCGAGGAAGGCGGGGAUGACGUCAAAUCAGCACGGCCCUUACAUCCGGGGCGACACACGUGUUACAAUGGCGUGGACAAAGGGAAGCCACCUGGCGACAGGGAGCGAAUCCCCAAACCACGUCUCAGUUCGGAUCGGAGUCUGCAACCCGACUCCGUGAAGCUGGAUUCGCUAGUAAUCGCGCAUCAGCCAUGGCGCGGUGAAUACGUUCCCGGGCCUUGUACACACCGCCCGUCAAGCCAUGGGAGCCGGGGGUACCAGAAGUCCGUAACCGCGAGGAUCGGCCUAGGGUAAAACUGGUAAA